Cyprinus carpio carpio is the source of this 1459-nucleotide long non-coding RNA. Lineage: Eukaryota; Metazoa; Chordata; Actinopteri; Cypriniformes; Cyprinidae. The record is from Ensembl.
GCGGAAUUGCACAAAAGGCAUAGCAAAUACACAGGUGGGGGACAUCAGGUGUUGCGUAGAUGUGGCAUCAUAUGGAGACUGUCUGGCUGUGAGCAGGGCUGAGAGAGCAAGCUGCCAGUCAGUAUGACGGGAGGAUUGCAUUAGCUACGAGCACAUGUGGUUACCGUAGUCAACUGGAUCCAACUUGUAUCCAGACCAGGUGGUGGACCUGCACCCAGGACGACCACAGCAUGUCAUGACCAGUGAAGACCACCACAAUCAGAUGACGUCACACCUAGUUCUAUUCUUGUAUCAUGUUCUUGUUUUAUGUUCAUGUUUUCACAGAUUUAAUUUUGUAGUGUGUCAUAGCCAUGUUUUCUGUUUUGUCAUAUGAUAUUACCAUGUGGUUCUUUUGUUUUAUGUGUCGAGUUUUUGUUGGUUCAUUGUCUAGUUAGUAGUUCUGUCUUCUCAUUGGUUGUCUUGUUAUCUUGUUUAGUAGUUUUGUCUUGCCAUUGCCCCUAAGCUUUGAUGUAACCUGCUGUUGGUAAGUUUAGGCAAUCACAUUUAUGUCAAGUUCUUGUGUUCUUAAUUCACGUUCAAGUCUGCUUUACUUCAACUCAUACUUUUAUUUGUUUUGUAUCUUGUUCACCAUUUGUCAGAUAAAACUGCACUUGGUUUCUAUGCUUUGGCUCGCCUUCAGUGGACUAAACGUUACAUGAGGACACAGUACAGAUCCUCAGCUAGGACCUCAGCAACUAGUCCAUAUCCAUAUAAGAUGGUGGACCUGCACCUAGAAAAGACCUGACUUGAACAGACUUGAAUGACCACGAUACAAGGAUACAACUAGAUGAGCCAGACAGAUCCCCUGUGAAGACAUAAUCGACAUGACAGCCAUCAGCACAGAUCCUCGUUGAAGACGACAAGAACCAGACAAGUCCUCUGCACAGCCCCUGUGACCAGUUUCAAAUCCUUCUCCAUGUAAUGUACUGCAAUCUUCAAUCAUAAGGAACUGGAUGAAUAUUCUGAAUGAUACCAAUUCACGAACUGACUUGUGAUGCGGCCUAAUGUUCAUUGUCCUGGCCAGACAGAACUGCUCCCUCCCUCCACCUGCCACUCUUGUGUUCAGUGGGUCUUUUAUAAGGUUCAAGUGAAAUUGCCCAUGUGUACACCUAAAACCUGUAACCUUCAAGCAGUGCUAGUAUGGCACAUUUAGAGUUCCUGGCAGUACAGUAUCGUUUCCUUUCCACUGUUUUUACAGAGAGAAAAAAAAUCAGUCUUUGAGGGCUUCACAUCCUGUUCCUGUUCUUCCUGACCUGAGGAUACCUGCUUCCUGUUCCUUGAACAACAGUGGCUGUAACUGAGGAAACCAACACUAUGACUGGUGUGUUGCUAUACUAGUUGGGAAAAAAGCAAGUGUUGUCCCAAUUUUCUAUUUCAAUGAAGGUAUGAGACAAAAGACUUUUGAAGAUUUAUUUCUUGA